UACGAAGGGUGCAAGCGUUGUUCGGAUUUACUGGGCGUAAAGCGCGCGCAGGCGGGUUUAUAAGCCAGAUGUGAAAUUUUGGGGCUCAACCCCAAACGUGCGUCUGGAACUGUAGAUCUAGAAUAUUGGAGGGGAAAGUGGAAUUUCACAUGUAGGGGUAAAAUCCGUAGAGAUGUGAAGGAACACCAGAGGCGAAGGCGACUUUCUGGCCAAUUAUUGACGCUGAGGCGCGAAAGCGUGGGUAGCAAACAGG
This 253-nucleotide ribosomal RNA is filed under the name uncultured bacterium. RNAcentral's name for it is "partial 16S ribosomal RNA". It matches the Rfam family "Bacterial small subunit ribosomal RNA", at positions 524 to 776 of the family's 1533-position model. The record is from RNAcentral.